UGGGGAAUAUUGGACAAUGGGCGCAAGCCUGAUCCAGCCAUGCCGCGUGAGUGAUGAAGGCCCUAGGGUUGUAAAGCUCUUUCACCGGUGAAGAUAAUGACGGUAACCGGAGAAGAAGCCCCGGCUAACUUCGUGCCAGCAGCCGCGGUAAUACGAAGGGGGCUAGCGUUGUUCGGAUUUACUGGGCGUAAAGCGCACGUAGGCGGACUAUUAAGUCAGGGGUGAAAUCGCGGGGCUCAACCCCGGAACUGCCUUUGAUACUGGUAGUCUUGAGUUCGAGAGAGGUGAGUGGAAUUCCGGGUGUAGAGGUGAAAUUCGUAGAUAUUCGGAGGAACACCAGUGGCGAAGGCGGCUCACUGGCUCGAUACUGACGCUGAGGUGCGAAAGCGUGGGGAGCAAACAGG
RNAcentral lists this ribosomal RNA (404 nucleotides) under Actinomycetes bacterium. RNAcentral's name for it is "Actinobacteria bacterium partial 16S ribosomal RNA". It matches the Rfam family "Bacterial small subunit ribosomal RNA", at positions 355 to 776 of the family's 1533-position model. The record is from RNAcentral. Lineage: Bacteria; Bacillati; Actinomycetota; Actinomycetes.